GACGAACGCUGGCGGUGUGCUUAACACAUGCAAGUCGAACGGUAAGGCCCUUUCGGGGGUACACGAGUGGCGAACGGGUGCAUAACACGUGAGUAACCUGCCCUCAUCUCUGGGAUAACAGUCGGAAACGGUUGCUAAUACUGGAUAUGAGCCUGCAAGGCAUCUUGUGGGUUGGAAAGAUUUUUUGGUUGGGGAUGGACUCGCGGCCUAUCAGCUUGUUGGUGAGGUAGUGGCUCACCAAGGCUUCGACGGGUAGCCGGCCUGAGAGGGCGACCGGCCACAUUGGGACUGAGAUACGGCCCAAACUCCUACGGGAGGCAGCAGUGGGGAAUAUUGCACAAUGGACGGAAGUCUGAUGCAGCAACGCCGCGUGCGGGAUGACGGCCUUCGGGUUGUAAACCGCUUUCAAUUGUGACGAAGCUUUUUGUGACGGUAGCAGUAGAAGAAGCACCGGCUAACUACGUG
Molecule: ribosomal RNA, 465 nt
Filed under: uncultured bacterium
Lineage: Bacteria
Description: partial 16S ribosomal RNA
Rfam family: Bacterial small subunit ribosomal RNA
Source: RNAcentral